UGUAGCUGCUAAGAAGGUGCCUGCAGGGGAGGAAAAGCUGAAGAAGCAUGAGAAAGCUCUGGCAGGGAAGCCUGGGAGAUGCCCUGUGGAAGAAACUGUGAAAGUAGGGGAGAGACUAAAAGCCAAUUGGGAUGAAGACUGUUGCCAUCCUGCCCAUCAUGUCAGCUGAGCUUGAGCCAUUUAUUUCCCCACCUUUCUGGCACCAGGUGAUAACAAACUGCUCUCCGAAGGAUCAGAUACACACCAGCUCAAGUGCAGAGUAAAUAACUUAUCAGUUGAAGGCACUAUAAAGUAGUGAAGUCAUAUUUACAUGCUGGACUCAUGCCAGGCCCACAAGGGCCUAACACUUUUUGUGACUGGUCAACUCAAAAACCAUUUUCUUGUGUGCAGUGAAAAGAAGCUUUCUAAUCAUCUUCAACUCUGGGUUAGAUUAAGAGGGCAGAAACUGCACCAUGUAAGGGUCUAAAAGAUGAUAACUCUUCUGGACUACAGCAGAAACAAGUUGUUUGCUAAUCCCCAUUAAACAAUGUGCUCAUUUGUCAAAUAAUGUUCAGCUUCAAUUAUUUUUAAAUCA
Long non-coding RNA from Mauremys reevesii (Reeves's turtle), 574 nucleotides. RefSeq lists it as uncharacterized. The record is from RefSeq and is a predicted model, not a curated record. The transcript is spliced from 3 exons. NCBI's taxonomy places the organism in Eukaryota, Metazoa, Chordata, Testudines, Geoemydidae.